This 308-nucleotide ribosomal RNA is filed under the name Blepharisma japonicum. RNAcentral describes it as "partial Eukaryotic large subunit ribosomal RNA". It matches the Rfam family "Eukaryotic large subunit ribosomal RNA", at positions 658 to 953 of the family's 3401-position model. The record is from RNAcentral. Lineage: Eukaryota; Ciliophora; Heterotrichea; Heterotrichida; Blepharismidae.
AACACGGACCAAGGAGUAAAGCGUAUGUGCAAGCAGAAGCCAUAGUAAUGGUGUAUGCGUAACGAAAGUAAGCUAGUAUUAAUAGUAAUAUGAUAUACUGACCAAUCCAGUAUUAACAUGAGCAUGUCGAUUGUUAAGUGGAAUUGAGUUAGAGUAUAUAUGCUUUGACCCGAAAGAUGGUGAUCUAUACUUGAAUUGGCUGAAGUCAGAGGAAACUCUGAUGGAGGGUCUCGAACGGUGCUGACGUGCAAAUCGCUUGUCAGACUUGAGUAUAGGGGCGAAAGACUCAUCGAACCAUCUAGUAGCUG